AUUGAACGCUGGCGGCAGGCCUAACACAUGCAAGUCGAGCGGAUGAAGGGAGCUUGCUCCUGGAUUCAGCGGCGGACGGGUGAGUAAUGCCUAGGAAUCUGCCUGGUAGUGGGGGAUAACGUCCGGAAACGGGCGCUAAUACCGCAUACGUCCUGAGGGAGAAAGUGGGGGAUCUUCGGACCUCACGCUAUCAGAUGAGCCUAGGUCGGAUUAGCUAGUUGGUGGGGUAGAGGCCUACCAAGGCGACGAUCUGUAACUGGUCUGAGAGGAUGAUCAGUCACUGGAACUGAGACACGGUCCAGACUCCUACGGGAGGCAGCAGUGGGGAAUAUUGGACAAUGGGCGAAAGCCUGAUCCAGCCAUGCCGCGUGUGUGAAGAAGGUCUUCGGAUUGUAAAGCACUUUAAGUUGGGAGGAAGGGCAGUAAGUUAAUACCUUGCUGUUUUGACGUUACCAACAGAAUAAGCACCGGCUAACUUCGUG
This 482-nucleotide ribosomal RNA is filed under the name uncultured bacterium. RNAcentral describes it as "partial 16S ribosomal RNA". It matches the Rfam family "Bacterial small subunit ribosomal RNA", at positions 30 to 507 of the family's 1533-position model. The record is from RNAcentral.